GGCCCCGUGGUCAAGCGGUUAAGACACCGCCCUUUCACGGCGGUAACACGGGUUCGAGUCCCGUACGGGUCA
This 72-nucleotide transfer RNA is filed under the name Candidatus Jeotgalicoccus stercoravium. RNAcentral's name for it is "tRNA-Glu". It matches the Rfam family "tRNA". Rfam says of the family: Transfer RNA (tRNA) molecules are approximately 80 nucleotides in length. Their secondary structure includes four short double-helical elements and three loops (D, anti-codon, and T loops). Further hydrogen bonds mediate the characteristic L-shaped molecular structure. tRNAs have two regions of fundamental functional importance: the anti-codon, which is responsible for specific mRNA codon recognition, and the 3' end, to which the tRNAs corresponding amino acid is attached (by aminoacyl-tRNA synthetases). tRNAs cope with the degeneracy of the genetic code in two manners: having more than one tRNA (with a specific anti-codon) for a particular amino acid; and 'wobble' base-pairing, i.e. permitting non-standard base-pairing at the 3rd anti-codon position. The record is from RNAcentral. Lineage: Bacteria; Bacillati; Bacillota; Bacilli; Caryophanales; Staphylococcaceae.